GGAUUUUCAACCUGGGGAAGCUUUCGUGGUUCGCAAUGUUGCUAACAUUGUUCCACCCUAUGACCAGGUCACCAUUUUUUAGCCCAUUUCAUUUAUAAUUUGCUUGAAUUUAUUUCAUUUUGAAAUAAUUUUUUUUUUCUUUUUUGGGGGGAUUCUCUGCUUUCACAGACUAAGUAUGCUGGAGUUGGAGCUGCUGUCGAGUAUGCAGUUUUGCAUCUCAAGGUGAUUAAAUUGAUAAUAUAUAUAUAUAUAUAUAUAUAUAUAUAUUUAAUCUCAGCAUCUAUUGGAGUCUAUUAAUUUAUCUAAGUGUGGAUUAAUUUUGCUACAGGUUUCAAACAUUGUGGUUAUUGGGCACAGCGCCUGUGGCGGCAUCAAAGGACUCAUGUCUUUCCCAUUUGAUGGAAACAACUCCACGUAUGGCCUCAUCUGUAAACUAAUCAUUCAUAUAUGUUUGAAUCAAAAUACAGGGAUUAACUAAUAAUAAUUUUUGCCAAUCGGUUGAAACUUGAAACAUGUAGCGAUUUCAUUGAAGACUGGGUGAAAAUUGGCAUCCCUGCCAAGUCUAAGGUGUUAACAGAGCAUGGUGACAAGCCUUUUGGAGACCAAUGCACAUACUGUGAAAAGGUUAUUAAUUAACUUACUAUUAGCAGCUACCUUAUUUAUUUCUCCAUCUACACUGCUGCUCUGUUGAAAUUUCGAUUUUUCGGAAGCAAAUAAAAAUGUAAACUGCAAUAU
RNAcentral lists this long non-coding RNA (735 nucleotides) under Citrus sinensis (sweet orange). Its description in RNAcentral is "long non-coding RNA (CSIN_LNC000941)". The record is from RNAcentral. Lineage: Eukaryota; Viridiplantae; Streptophyta; Magnoliopsida; Sapindales; Rutaceae.